UCCGCGUGGAGUUCAGACGACGGAGAAGAGGGCACCGACCACCGAGCCGGCAGCGGGCGGCGCCAACCGGGAAGGCGGUUCGUCCGCCACCGCGAGCGCGCGAGGUGGCGCGGCGGCGGCGUCAGCGCCGGUGUUGCCAGGCGAGAGAGCUAGUGGUUCCGCGUGUCCGGGGAGCAGACGUAUCACGGAUUCACCACAUCGUGGCAGGGCAGUCCUUCGGUGCUGCGGGAGCACUUUGGUUUGGAGACCUUCCGCCAAACGAAGAUGGACUUUCAGAGACCUGAACAAGCAUAGCAGAAUGACAUUUAUCGUCAUGUUCAUGGAGAAUGUGGGGCAAUUGCUAGAGAAAACAUCAUGAGACGGCGCAUACCUGCAGGAGAGCCGGCGAGUCGAAGGUACAGGUUCUCACCAACGGCACUGGCUUUCUCCGAGUCGAGAAGCUCCCCCAUCCAUACCAAGCACCUUGAGGGGUCACCCGUCGUGAGGAUAGUUCUCAAGUUGGCAUAAGCGUAUGCCGUGCACGAGCAGUUGCGGUCGCACUCAUCGGCACACUCCUCAAAGGUUCUGUUCCUGAUGUACAAGAACUUGUCCGGCACCUUCAUCCCUGGUAAGGUGAAGAAAUGGUCUUGGCCACCGCAUCUCAGCUCCUCCUUUCUUCGGCAUCCUCUGGAAGAGUUGAGGCUAAAUCCAUCGGCCGGCUCGAAGCCAUCAAGGCACUUGCACUCCUGGAAGCUGCCGGUGAUGUCGCAGUAGCCGAACGGCCCGCAGGCGCCGUAGUGGAGACAGCCAUGGCCUGGUCGCUCGAAUGGGCUCGUCCAAGUCGAUGAUACGUUGUUCCAUGCCCGGAAGCUCACGUUCCCGGUGUAGUCCAGCUUCCAGUGUGUCAAAAUGCCAUCAGCUGCGUUGUAUAUCGCGUAGAUCUCCUCGCCAUUGUCAACGAUCUGGGACCAUAUGUACCUGGUGAGGCCGGUGGCCGUCGCGCCGUUCCAGACACCGCUGCGCCACGACGGGCUCGCCCCAUGCCAGAUGACGAUAUGGAGCCCCCACUGGUCAGGGUCACCGCUGAGGGAGAACUCGCAGGUGGACGGGUCGCGACGACCCCUCCAAGCAACUACGCGCACCGCCUCAUGGUUCUUGUAUGUUCGUCCAUAGCUUGAAGCCAGGGAGGCCAGGGAGGAUCGUGUCCGUGGGGUGAUCGGGCAACCGGAGCACGAAGUUGCCCGUGUUCUGCAGCACCGCGGUGGCUCCACCACCUCCGAUGGUGACCGUGUUCGCCGUGGUCCCCUUGGAGUCGGAUAGCACAAGCCCGGAGGUGUUGGUAACAGCCAGCCUCGCCGUAUGGGUGGUGAUUGGGUUGUCGCGGUUGGCGACCCAGACAUAGGUGCGCUCCGGGAUGUUGUUGUACCAUAUGCCAAGGUAGAGCAGGCUUGGGGUUGAGUUGGUGGUGGUCAGGGAGAAGAAGCCGACAGCAAAGACGCCGCCAUCCGAGAUGAGCUUGUCGCCGCCGGGGAAGAUGAGUGGCUUUGCCGGUGUUAGGCGGUCAUCGGAUUGGCAGAAACUAAUCAAGAACAUGAAGAUGACUACAUGCAGUCUGGUCAUAUUCUCUUGUAAAUUCCUUGGAAAGCACUACAAUCCUACAUAGAGACGAUAGAACAGAGUUGUGAGAUUAUUGGGCCAACCUUCUUGUCGGCAGUAUAGAGUAACUAGUGCAGCUAGCUUCGUAAAAGAGUAGGAUUAUACUAUCGUAAUUGUUAUAUUUCCCAGGCCCUGAAAUAGCGCAAUAGAUAUUCUGUAUUCCUGUGUUGAGAGUGAGAAAAUUGGGAUUAUACUACCGUA
Molecule: non-coding RNA, 1836 nt
Organism: Oryza sativa Japonica Group (Japanese rice)
Lineage: Eukaryota; Viridiplantae; Streptophyta; Magnoliopsida; Poales; Poaceae
Source: RefSeq, a predicted model, not a curated record